RNAcentral lists this ribosomal RNA (573 nucleotides) under uncultured fungus. RNAcentral describes it as "eukaryotic LSU rRNA". It matches the Rfam family "Eukaryotic large subunit ribosomal RNA", at positions 68 to 655 of the family's 3401-position model. The record is from RNAcentral. Lineage: Eukaryota; Fungi.
ACAGGGAUUGCCUCAGUAACGGCGAGUGAAGCGGCAAGAGCUCAAAUUUGAAAUCUGAUGCCUUCGGCGUCCGAGUUGUAAUUUGGAGAGGAUGUUUCGGCAACCGCCUCGGCCUAUGUUCCUUGGAACAGGACGUCGUAGAGGGUGAGAAUCCCGUAUACGGCCGGCUGCGUGCGCCAUGUGAAACUCCUUCGACGAGUCGAGUUGUUUGGGAAUGCAGCUCUAAAUGGGUGGUAAAUUUCAUCUAAAGCUAAAUACCGGCGAGAGACCGAUAGCGCACAAGUAGAGUGAUCGAAAGAUGAAAAGCACUUUGAAAAGAGAGUUAAACAGUACGUGAAAUUGUUGAAAGGGAAGCGCUUGCAACCAGACUUGCCGCGGGUCGAUCAACGUUCCUUCUGGUUCGUGCACUCGAUCCGUGGCAGGCCAGCAUCGGUUUCCGCGGCGGGACAAAGGCUUGGGGAAUGUGGCUCUCUUCGGGGAGUGUUAUAGCCCCUCGCGCAAUGCCGCCUGCUGGGGACCGAGGACCGCGCUUCGGCUAGGAUGCUGGCGUAAUGGUUGUAAGCGGCCCGUCUG